AGAGUUUGAUCAUGGCUCAGAGUGAACGCUGGCGGCAGGCCUAAUACAUGCAAGUCGAACGGCAGCACAGCAGAGCUUGCUCUGUGGGUGGCGAGUGGCGGACGGGUGAGGAAUACGUGGGAAUCUGCCCAGCCGUGGGGGAUAACGUAGGGAAACUUACGCUAAUACCGCAUGCGCCUUCGGGGGAAAGCCGGGGACCUUCGGGCCUGGCGCGAUUGGAUGAGCCCACGUCGGAUUAGCUAGUUGGCGGGGUAAAGGCCCACCAAGGCGACGAUCCGUAGCUGGUCUGAGAGGAUGAUCAGCCACACUGGAACUGAGACACGGUCCAGACUCCUACGGGAGGCAGCAGUAGGGAAUAUUGGACAAUGGGCGCAAGCCUGAUCCAGCCAUGCCGCGUGAGUGAAGAAGGCCCUCGGGUUGUAAAGCUCUUUUGUCCGGAAAGAAAAGCGCCGGGUUAAUACCCUGGUGUCCUGACGGUACCGGAAGAAUAAGCACCGGCUAACUUCGUG
RNAcentral lists this ribosomal RNA (509 nucleotides) under uncultured bacterium. RNAcentral describes it as "bacterial SSU rRNA". It matches the Rfam family "Bacterial small subunit ribosomal RNA", at positions 8 to 507 of the family's 1533-position model. The record is from RNAcentral.